Molecule: long non-coding RNA, 1029 nt
Filed under: Equus caballus (horse)
Lineage: Eukaryota; Metazoa; Chordata; Mammalia; Perissodactyla; Equidae
Description: lncRNA (ENSECAG00000044326.1)
Source: RNAcentral
CCCAGAUGGGCAACCUGGGGACUCGUCCUUGACCUCCCUACUCCACUUCCCUCACAUAUCUGGUCAUGACCAGGUUCUGGGGAUCCCCUGCUGGUGCGCCUCUGUCCCGUCUGACCCUCCCUGUUCUGCCCCAGGCCCUGCCCAUCCAUGGCCCUGUCUUCCUCCUGACCGUGUCCCUCUUUCUUCUCCCUUUCUGACCCGUCCUCCCCUUCAUUUCCCCAGCAGCCUCUUCACUAACACUCUUGAACAUGUCACUCCCCUGCUCAGAGUUCCUCAGCAUCUUCCAUCUGUCUCAGGGGUGCUGCCCAAACCCCUCCACCCUCUUCUGGCCUGGCCACCCAUCUCCCUUCCCUGCCCUACACCCCGGUGGCCACUUGGUGACUUACCAGGUUAUUUUAAGCUCCUGUUUUUACCCCGAGUUCUCGCCUGGUCCCUUGCCUACCUCUUUCUGGCCUGCUGGCGAGUCCUCGACACCCCCAGGCCUGGAUGAGGCACCCCUUUCGUUAUGAAGCCUUCCGACCCCCCAUGAGUUUCCCAGCUCAGAUCGGUGUGUCUUCUCCUCCAUGACGCCUUUGAUGGUGGGACCCAGAACUUGUUGAGUUAGUAACGGCCACAAUGACACACAGGAGUGAGAAGACCAUCUGCUGCAGAGACGCAAGAUCAAGUGCUACUUCCUGUCGGCAGGAGUCACCGUCCUGCUGGUCAUCAUUCUCGUCAUCGCCACCUCUAUCCGAAAGUGAGGCCACCUGCGGCACAGGCCAGGCCCUGGUGACCCAGCCAUGAACAUGGCUGAUGGAGACCCUCUUUUCCUGGAACUCCCAGCUGUAGAGGCAGGUGAACCUGAAGCUCCCUUUGUGUCGUGCUGUCACGUGGCCUGCGUGGACCCUGGGGAGCUUCGCACCUGCCUGCCUCCCAGCUGUGUGCUGACCCCGCCGCCUCUGCACAGCCCCUGGCUGAGCCUGCGCCAAUAAACCGCCACUGCUUGGCCAGCCCCGUGCCUGUCUGUUUGCAUCUGUGGGCGGGGUGGGG